Molecule: long non-coding RNA, 4799 nt
Filed under: Homo sapiens (human)
Lineage: Eukaryota; Metazoa; Chordata; Mammalia; Primates; Hominidae
Description: non-protein coding MANEA-DT:20
Source: RNAcentral
GUCUUCCGGAGCCUCCGGUCGCGGGUCUAAGAGGACUAGGGCGGGAGCGGCGCGGAAGAAAGAGAGGACUGCGUUUUGGGGCGUUCUGUCAGAGGGGAAGGACGUGUGGAUUGGAGUCAGACUGCACUCCCGCCCUAUUUCUGCAAGUAGAACUCACUGCCUUUAGAAACGGUCUUCUGAGGCUCUGUUGGGAGGCUCUAACUGUAUUACAGAGGACACAUUUUUGUUUGUUUUUAUGUGAAACAUUCAGAAGUUGCUUGCAUCAAGUGCUUUACAAGUACACUGGUUUUCAAACUUUUAAAGUUGAGGAACUGUUUUGAUUUUUGUAAAAAUAGAACUUUACUUGGAAGCCCAAGGUCGCUUAGAAACUAGUACUCUCAGAACAUGGAGUGGAAGAGGUGAUCAUGGUAGCAACAGACUGAGGAGUGAAUUUGAACUUGAGUUUUGUCUUGCUGUUUUUCAUUGAUGGAACCCAACUGGAAAUCAGAAUACAAGGGCACUCGAUUAAUUCAGUUCACAGAGGACUUCUUCCUGUGGCACGGAGCAUGGUGGGGAAAGGUACAAAGUAGACCUCGAGAAACAAACAGCAUGGUGACCAGUCACAAAAUGUAUACAGAAAAUUAACAGAUUUUUUUUCCUUGAAGAGAUCAAAUCUAAAAAACAGUAUAAAAAUAAGAAUGUGCAGGAUCUAUAUAAAGAAAUCUAUACUCUACCAAGGUACCUGAAAAAAUACACAGAUAAAUGAAGGCUUAUGGCUUGAUUUUAGGUAUAAAAAGUUAAUGUUUAAAGACAUCCAUUUAUCCACCUGGAUAAACAUGGUCAUUAUUUUUUAAAUCAAAGUCCCAAGAGCUCCAUUUCACAACCUGAAACUAUUUAAAAUCAUGUUAGAAAAUUAAAUAGUAAGAAAAUACUAGAAAAAAUCAGAAGAAUGAGUAGAAUCAUAGAGCUACAAUAAUUAAAAUAGGAUGGUUUGGGGGGAAGAUCAGUAAGUUAGAUCAAUGAAAUUGCAUAGAAAAGCAAGAAAUUGAUUAUUAUAUUUCUAUGGGCACGUGAAAACUGUGGCAUUUCUAAUCACAGGGGAACUUAUAGAUUAUAAGAUAAAAGACAUUAAGCCUAUUGGAUAACUAGUUUAGAGAAAAGAAAAUUCAGUUACGAUCUGACCUCAAGAAAAAAAUGUAAAUAGAUUAAAUAUGUAUAUGUAAAAUCAAAAAAAUCAUGAAUAUAUAAAUAAAAUUCGAUAAGUGUUUCUAUAUUUCAGAUGUGGGUCUAUACGGUAAUUUUAUAAUAAAUCAAUUAAAAGAUAUACUAAAAUCAUUUUAACUGGGUGAAAACCAUUUUCACUCACUUAAUUUUUUAAAAUGGUGAAAUCCACUCAUAAACAGUAGCCAGAAAUCAAAGUCAGAAGGCUAAUAUGUAUUUAAAAAGCUAAAGGGUUAGCUUUAGGAGUGUCCAACCUAUGGAGUCACACAGGACCAUAGUUAAUAAUGGCCUCAUACUUGGUUUGAUAUUCUGCUGUCACAGUCUUGAAAUCCUUAACAAUUUUUGAACAAAGAGCCCUGGAUUUUCGUUUUGCACUCAGUCCUGCAAAUUAGGUAGCGAUCCUAGUUAACCUUCCCAUAUACUGAGUGAAAUACAAACUAAAACCUGAAUUUAAAAAUUGUUUUUAGGUUGAAAACAGUAAAAUAAAAACACUUAUUUUUUUUACUUGACAACAUCAAGAAUGCAGAAAAAGAAACACUCAUAUACCUUUAGUUCAACCAUUUGCAAAUACUCAGGAAUCAUAUAUCAAAAUUUAAAGUGAAUACUUUUUAUUGAGCAUUUUUUUCUACAGGAAUACAUCUACAGGAACUAAUUGAACCCAUACAUAAAAAUCAGGAUAUUUAUCACAGUAUUGCUAAUAAUAACAAAAAUAUGUGAACCAAUCUAAAUGUUCAUAAAAAUUGGUUAUAUAUUGAAGGAUACAUUUCUGUAGUUUCAUUUAUGCUUCAACCUUAAAUGUGAUAUAAAUAUACGUAUAAACACACACAUUUGAAAUGUAAAGAUGUACAGUAGAGUGAUAUGGAAAGAUACUCAUGAUUCAUUGUUACGUGGAAAGCCAACUAUGUAACAGCAAAGAUAGUGAAAUGCUACAGGUAGCUGUACAGAACUUUUUAUAUAUAGGUAUAAAAAUGUGUGAAAAGAAAAACAAAGAUAUUUUUAUCCAGAAUUACAGGAACUUUUAUUUUCUUGUUACAAUUUUAGAUAGCCUUCCUUUUAACAAUGGGCUUUUAUUUCUAUUAAAAUAGAAAAAUAAAUCAGCUUGAACUAAUAAGAACUGGGUCAUUUAUGGCUGUGAUCAUUUAAAUAUUUAUAUAAAUAAUUUCCAAAAAUAGUUAUUUUUUUUAUAAAACAAAGGAAUUAAUGUAAACAGUUUGGAAAGAAAAGUUAAAUAACUUUAAAAAGUUAUGUUGUUGCAAACAUGUCAAUUAUACAGCUAAAAAUUGGGGGGUGUAAGUAUAAGUAUACUAGUUUCCUAAUCUUAAAAAUCAGCAAUUACAUCUAUACUGCUUCAGCCCUGACACAGAUAGGUAGAAGAAUAUAGGUUUCAUUUUAUUUUUGCAAAGCAUAAAGGCAGUCAAAUUUACAAAGAUUUGGAGAAGCAUAGAAAAUAAUUUCAGAUGGUACAUGAUUAUGAGAUAGAAACGUGAGGUAGUAUGUCUUGAACUGGAGUGAAGAAUAGUACUUAAUGUGAAAAAUAAUAAUUUAUACAGAUUCAAAUUCAAUUAAAAAGGAAACCAUAUCACACUUAAUGAACUGCAGAAAAUUUUAGUCUUUCAUCUAAAAUGAGAACACACAGAAUGUAGCUGAAUCCAGACGAUGUAUUACAGUCAUUGAGUUAAUUCUCUAUGCUGAUUAAAAUAAAGACAUAAUCUCCCAUAAAUUGCUUCCUGAUAUUCCUUUAAGUUGUUUUACUCGAACGAGAUUUAAGAUGGAGAAAUAUAGCAGACAUCUAAAUGCAGGACCACCUGCAGGUUGAGUCUCAGAAGUCUGAUGAGUAGAGAUACUUUAGUCAGGUGUCUGAUGCAAAACAUCACAUUUCUAUCAUCAUUUUCAACUGGAAAGGGGCUUCUUGGAGGUAAUCUAGGACUGUAUGGUAGUCAGAAUGAAAAGUAACAUAAUACAAAUUUCAUCUGUAUAUUUGAACUAUUAAAAUUUACUUUAAAAAAUUAUUGGAUAUUUAGUCAUCUUGCCAAAAUCACUUAAAGUAUAUUAAGUUAUUUUAUGCACUCUUUGGAAACAUUUUUACCUAUGUAAUCAAAGUGGUAGAAUAAGAAACAUUAUAUAAAAAUUCAAAAGUUGAAUCCACUUUGUCUGUAUUCAUUAUAUUGACAGCUGGAUAAAAUAAAAUAAUUAAAGAACUUAUGCCUUUCAGAACAUUAACUAACAGUUUCUAACUGCUUCAGUUAUUCAAGAUAAGUUCUGGAUAUCUAUACAGCAUAGUGACCAUAGGUAGCAAUACUAUUUUAUUGUUAAAAUUUAUUAAGAUAGUAGGUCUUAUGUUAAUUCUUUCUAACACACAAACACACACAGAUUAAUAAAAAGGAAGUGGGAAGAAACUUUGGGAGGUGAUGGAUAUUUAUAACCUUGAAGAUGGUGAUGCAUCAUGGAUGUAUACUUACUGCUAAACUUAUGAAGUUGUAUAUGCUAAAUACGUACAGCGUUUUACAUGUCAAUCAUAUGUCAAUAAAGUGGUUUAAAACAAAAACAGAAACAAAUCUACAUUAAUUGUAAAUGCUUAUAAGUUAUCAAAAGCAAUACUGAAUUAACGAGUGGUGAUUUGUGAAAAAUGUUUUUUUUUAAUGAAGCUGACCCUAUACAUAGGUGGAUGCUUUAGUGACAAAAUUUGUUGAUGCUUGCGAAAACUUCAGACGAUAGGUGGCCAAAUGAAUAAAAAACAAAACUGCUGCUGAUUUUCUUUAGUGGGUUUCUGUAGAUCAUAAGCAUAAGGAGUAGCCGUUGUGUUUUUUAAAAAAUUCAGAUACUCAUACUGAAUGGGCAAAAGCUGGAACCAUUCCCCUUGAAAACAGGCACAAGACAAGGAUGCCCUCUCUCACCUCUCCUAUUCAGCAUAUUGGAAGUUCUGGCCAGUACAAUGAGGCAAGAGAAAGAAAUAAAGGGUAUUCAAAUAGGAAGGAGGAAGUCAAACUUUGUUUGCACAUGACAUGAUCCUGUAUCUAAAAAACCCUAUAACUCAGCCCCAAAGCUUCUUAAGGUGAUAAGCAACUUCAGCGAAGUCUCAGGAUACAAAAUCAAUGUCCAAAAAUUGCUAGCAUUUCUAUACACCAACAACAGUCAAGCAGAGAACCAAAUCAUGAAUAAACUCCCAUUCACAGCUGCCACAAAAAGAAUAAAAUACCUACGAAUACAGCUAACCAGGGAAGUGAAGGACCUUUUCAAGGAAAACUACAAACCACUGCUCAAAGAAAUCAGAGAUGACACAAAUGCAAAAACAUUCCAUGCUCGUAGAUAGGAAGAAUCAAUAUCGUGAAAAUGGCCAUAUUGCCCAAAGCAAUUUAUAGAUUUAAUGCUACUUCCAUUAAACUACCAUAGACAUUCUUCACAGAAUUAGAAAAGAACUAUUUUAAAAUAUGGAACCAGAAAGGUGCCAGAAUAGCCAAGACAAUCCUAAGCAAAAAGAAGAAAGCUGGAGGCAUCAUGCUGCCUGACUUCAAACUAUCUACAAGGCUACAUUACCCAAAACAGCAUAGUCCUGGUACAAGACUAGACACAUAGACCAAUGGAACAGAGUAGAGAACCCA